Non-coding RNA from Ciona intestinalis (vase tunicate), 402 nucleotides. The record is from RefSeq and is a predicted model, not a curated record. NCBI's taxonomy places the organism in Eukaryota, Metazoa, Chordata, Ascidiacea, Phlebobranchia, Cionidae.
AGCGGAGGCCUACGUGACAGGAUAUACGACGUCAUCAGUUAUAGCUAUAUAAGCGACGGGUUUCAGCCAAAGAAUCACAAUUGACUCGCGGUAUAUAUCGGUGACACUGAUAUACCAAGAGACAUACAAGGAUCUCAUAGCUUCUAUACAAGAGAUUUGUUUUAGAAGAAAAGACUUCUGAUCAUUGCAAUGAAGGUUGUGAUAUUUCUAGCUGCGUUGUGUGCUCUUGCACAUUGCAACGGUCAACUUUCACCAAAUGCUCUGUGUCAAAUUACCUGCGAACGAAAUGAAUCUUGCCCAUCAAAGGACCAGAUGCACUCAAUUGUAUUGAGCAAAGGAGCUACUUGCAUUCGCUGCAUGUUCAACGCUUGUACAAGUAAGGAAUUUUCUAUUUACCUUACA